RNAcentral lists this ribosomal RNA (344 nucleotides) under uncultured bacterium. RNAcentral describes it as "bacterial SSU rRNA". It matches the Rfam family "Bacterial small subunit ribosomal RNA", at positions 527 to 873 of the family's 1533-position model. The record is from RNAcentral.
GUAGGGUGCAAGCGUUGUCCGGAUUUACUGGGUGUAAAGGGCSCGUAGGCGGAUUUGUAAGUCAGUGGUGAAAUCCUGUAGCUUAACUACAGAACUGCCUCUGAUACUGCAUAUCUUGAGUUCGGAAGAGAGAAGCGGAAUUCCAGGUGUAGUAGUGAAAUACGUAGAUAUCUGGAAGAACACCAGUGGCGAAGGCGGCUUCUUGGUCCGUAACUGACACUGAGGCGCGAAAGCGUGGGGAGCGAACAGGAUUAGAUACCCUGGUAGUCCACGCUGUAAACUAUGAAUACUAGGUGUUGGAUGCAUUUGUAUCCAGUGCCGCMUAACGCAUUAAGUAUUCCACC